Molecule: ribosomal RNA, 459 nt
Filed under: Leucocoprinus gongylophorus
Lineage: Eukaryota; Fungi; Basidiomycota; Agaricomycetes; Agaricales; Agaricaceae
Description: eukaryotic LSU rRNA
Rfam family: Eukaryotic large subunit ribosomal RNA
Source: RNAcentral
UUGACCUCAAAUCAGGUGGGACUACCCGCUGAACUUAAGCAUAUCAAUAAGCGGAGGAAAAGAAACUAACAAGGAUCCCCUUAGUAACUGCGAGUGAAGUGGGAAGAGCUCAAAUUUGAAAUCUGGCAGUCUCUGGCUGUCCGAGUUGUAAUCUAGAGAAGUGUUGCCCGCGCUGGACCGUGUACAAGUCUCCUGGGAUGGAGCGUCAUAGAGGGUGAGAAUCCCGUCUCUGACAUGGACUACCAGGGCUUUUGUGGUGCGCUCUCAAAGAGUCGAGUUGUUUGGGAAUGCAGCUCAAAAUGGGUGGUAAAUUCCAUCUAAAGCUAAAUAUUGGCGAGAGACCGAUAGUGAACAAGUACCGUGAGGGAAAGAUGAAAAGAACUUUGGAAAGAGAGUUAAACAGUACGUGAAGUUGCUGAAAGGGAAACGCUUGAAGUCAGUCGCGUUGGGCCAGGGAUC